This 69-nucleotide transfer RNA is filed under the name Morganella morganii. Its description in RNAcentral is "tRNA-OTHER". It matches the Rfam family "tRNA". Rfam says of the family: Transfer RNA (tRNA) molecules are approximately 80 nucleotides in length. Their secondary structure includes four short double-helical elements and three loops (D, anti-codon, and T loops). The record is from RNAcentral. Lineage: Bacteria; Pseudomonadati; Pseudomonadota; Gammaproteobacteria; Enterobacterales; Morganellaceae.
CUGUGUGUAGCUCAGCUGGUAGAGCGGUACCAAAAAGUGCGUGCGCUGGUUCGAUUCCAGUCACUCAAG